RNAcentral lists this unclassified non-coding RNA (213 nucleotides) under soil metagenome. RNAcentral describes it as "partial contains 5.8S ribosomal RNA, internal transcribed spacer 2, and large subunit ribosomal RNA". The record is from RNAcentral.
AACAAGGCGUACCUGCGGACCUGCGGAGGGAUCAUUACCGAGUUUACAACUCCCAAACCCAUGUGAACAUACCUAUCGUUGCUUCGGCGGGAUCGCCCCGGGCGCCUCGUGUGCCCCGGAUCCGGCGCCCGCCUAGGAACCUUAACUCUUGUUUUAUUUUGGAAUCUUCUGAGUAGUUUUUACAAAUAAAUAAAAACUUUCAGCAACGGAUCU